GGGGGCGUAAAGGUUUCGACGGGGAUUGUGAACCUGGGUAAGCGAGCAGCGGUGCGGACCCGCUAUAAAAGCCGUACUUUUUAAAACAAACGACAACAAUACUGUUGCGUACGCAGCCUAAUUAGGCUGCCGUCUUUACCCGGAAUACCGCGGCUGGGAUAAGGGCGUCGAUUAGCGGUGCACGUGAAUAAAGAGAAGCCGUGCUCUUUAUCAUGAUUGAAAUGGCUACCGUAAUCGGAAGUUUGCCGGUCAACGUCCGAUGAGGGGAAUCUAAAACGACAGGCUGCGCUCGGAGAAAGCUCAGGCAAAUGAUUUUCGGACAGGAGUUCGAUUCUCCUCGCCUCCACCA
Molecule: transfer-messenger RNA, 349 nt
Filed under: Oscillospiraceae bacterium
Lineage: Bacteria; Bacillati; Bacillota; Clostridia; Eubacteriales; Oscillospiraceae
Also listed under: 1 other name
Rfam family: transfer-messenger RNA
About the family: Bacterial tmRNA, also known as 10Sa RNA or SsrA, is named for its dual tRNA and mRNA-like properties.
Source: RNAcentral